Long non-coding RNA from Athalia rosae (coleseed sawfly), 1077 nucleotides. RefSeq lists it as uncharacterized. The transcript has 4 exons. The record is from RefSeq and is a predicted model, not a curated record. Lineage: Eukaryota; Metazoa; Arthropoda; Insecta; Hymenoptera; Athaliidae.
CUUCGGACUAUCUGCUUCGUCUCCGCUAAAUUCGUUGCUAAUUCUAAUCAUACGUUGUGAUAUCAGAUCUUAAAACCAGUGAUAAAUCGACACACAGUGACUCGAACAAUCCUAUCUCAUCUGGGUGUAAAAUUGGCUUAAUAAAACUUGUAAUAGUGGUGAUGCAGGACGCAACAAGUCGAACCGGUAGCCAUUGUGAAUUAUUUUUGAAUUCUUGUCGAAACUCGAGUAUCUCCACGGUGGACUCAAAGUGCAUAAUUAGUGCAUACAAAUAACUGGAAGAAUAAGCACCAGAUCUCCGCUCUUCCUGCUACGUGAAUUGAGCUCAGAGUCUGCAGCACACAGCAGGGAAGAAUCUCAAAGCUACCUGACCUGUUCAGCAGACUCCAAUCGGAUCUCUAAUAUUCGCUAGACUCAGGAAAAAUUGACAAUCGUUUUUACUGCAUCCGAUGUAGUCACCUCGUCCAUAGCUGAUCAUCGAUCAUCCACAUAAAGUGGGAAAUCUUGCAUCGUUCUUCGUGGGAGCAUCUCAUCCAUACAACGUGUUUCAACCUACUACACAGCUAUAGCCAUCAGGGAGGCAGAGACAUCCGGGUAAAAUCCAAGACCCCCGAGGCCUGGGAACCGGCUCGGGUCCGGUCUUGGUACCGGCAGCGAUGGUGAGUCCCAGCACUCAAAGUUCCUCGACUUCUUUGCCAGCUCACACGAUGGUGAACGCUGGCAUCGGGUCGUUGUAUUUUAUAUUGUGUCAUUCCUCUGUUCCCUUUUUGUAACAUGGCGUGGCGGUACCCUGAAUUGCAAUUUUAUUAGAUCAGGUAAUUGUAGGGUUGGUUGCUGUUGAGCAUAGCGCACGUGCACCCUUUAGCGUCAAACAUAUAAAACUCUUCCUUGAAAUUAAUCAGUCAAAAAACCAAUGAAUGAUUAAGUCAGUCAGUCAGUUUAUUAAUUUGUCAAUCAGUUAUUUGAGCAAUCAGUCAACUAUUAGUUCAUCGAAUAUGAACUAUUCAGAUAAAUCACAUCUUAGAUAAAUUUAAGUGCAAGAGUGUGCAGCUCAUAGGCAACGGUAAAGGCCGUCGU